AAGACCUUUGGAGGAAUUUUAUAAAGGGUUGGGAAAAGGGAAGGUGAAAUGGGGGUGGUGGUGUGUUGUGUGUAUGUAUGACCUCUUGUUGUUGUAUUGUAUAUGAAGUAAAUGUUUCAGCUUUCUUUGCUUUAUUUUUUGGUUUUAUUCAAAGAUUUCUAUUCCUUUUUUUCCAUCAAAUAAAUAAUUUUUUUUUCAUCUAUAAUGGACCUCAUGGGUAUAGGAAUAUUAUUCCCCAUAUCCUGUUGACUAUGGACUUUUCUCCUUUACCCACACAAUUUUUCAAAACCCCAAAAAUUAAUUUCUCAAAAACAAAAAUUUUGCCUUUAAAAUUUCACAAUCUAUAAAGAAAAAAAAAAAAGUGUGGGAAUGGGCAGAGAGAACA
This 385-nucleotide long non-coding RNA is filed under the name Vitis vinifera (wine grape). RNAcentral's name for it is "long non-coding RNA (VVIN_LNC008037)". The record is from RNAcentral. Lineage: Eukaryota; Viridiplantae; Streptophyta; Magnoliopsida; Vitales; Vitaceae.